UGGUGGGUAGUUUGACUGGGGCGGUCUCCUCCUAAAGAGUAACGGAGGAGCACGAAGGUUGGCUAAUCCUGGUCGGACAUCAGGAGGUUAGUGCAAUGGCAUAAGCCAGCUUGACUGCGAGCGUGACGGCGCGAGCAGGUGCGAAAGCAGGUCAUAGUGAUCCGGUGGUUCUGAAUGGAAGGGCCAUCGCUCAACGGAUAAAAGGUACUCCGGGGAUAACAGGCUGAUACCGCCCAAGAGUUCAUAUCGACGGCGGUGUUUGGCACCUCGAUGUCGGCUCAUCACAUCCUGGGGCUGAAGUAGGUCCCAAGGGUAUGGCUGUUCGCCAUUUAAAGUGGUACGCGAGCUGGGUUUAGAACGUCGUGAGACAGUUCGGUCCCUAUCUGCCGUGGGCGCUGGAGAACUGAGGGGGGCUGCUCCUAGUACGAGAGGACCGGAGUGGACGCAUCACUGGUGUUCGGGUUGUCAUGCCAAUGGCACUGCCCGGUAGCUAAAUGCGGAAGAGAUAAGUGCUGAAAGCAUCUAAGCACGAAACUUGCCCCGAGAUGAGUUCUCCCUGACUCCUUGAGAGUCCUGAAGGAACGU
This 585-nucleotide ribosomal RNA is filed under the name Escherichia coli. Its description in RNAcentral is "partial 23S ribosomal RNA". It matches the Rfam family "Bacterial large subunit ribosomal RNA", at positions 2259 to 2838 of the family's 2925-position model. Lineage: Bacteria; Pseudomonadati; Pseudomonadota; Gammaproteobacteria; Enterobacterales; Enterobacteriaceae. The record is from RNAcentral.